AGAAUCAACGCUGGCGGCGUGCCUAACACAUGCAAGUCGAACGAGAAAGUGGAGCAAUCCAUGAGUAAAGUGGCGCACGGGUGAGUAACACGUGACUAACCUACCCUUGAGUGGGGGAUAACCUAGGGAAACCUGGGCUAAUACCGCAUAAUACCUUCGGGUCAAAGGAGCAAUUCGCUUAGGGAGGGGGUCGCGGCCGAUUAGUUAGUUGGCGGGGUAAUGGCCCACCAAGACUGUGAUCGGUAU
Molecule: ribosomal RNA, 246 nt
Filed under: uncultured bacterium
Lineage: Bacteria
Description: partial small subunit ribosomal RNA
Rfam family: Bacterial small subunit ribosomal RNA
Source: RNAcentral